This 379-nucleotide ribosomal RNA is filed under the name uncultured bacterium. RNAcentral describes it as "bacterial SSU rRNA". It matches the Rfam family "Bacterial small subunit ribosomal RNA", at positions 28 to 407 of the family's 1533-position model. The record is from RNAcentral.
GACGAACGCUGGCGGCGUGCUUAACACAUGCAAGUCGAGCGGUAAGGCCCUUUCGGGGGUACGACGAGCGGCGAACGGGUGAGUAACACGUGGGUGACCUGCCCUUAGCUCUGGGAUAAGCCUGGGAAACUGGGUCUAAUACCGGAUAUGACUCCAUAACGCAUGUUGUGGGGUGGAAAGCCUUGUGCGGCUAGGGAUGGGCCCGCGGCCUAUCAGCUUGUUGGGUGGGGUGAUGGCCACCAAGGCGACGACGGGUAGCCGGCCUGAGAGGGCGACCGGCCACACUGGGACUGAGACACGGCCCAGACUCCUACGGGAGGCAGCAGUGGGGAAUCUUGCGCAAUGGGCGAAAGCCUGACGCAGCGACGCCGCGUGGGGA